RNAcentral lists this ribosomal RNA (497 nucleotides) under uncultured bacterium. RNAcentral describes it as "partial 16S ribosomal RNA". It matches the Rfam family "Bacterial small subunit ribosomal RNA", at positions 28 to 507 of the family's 1533-position model. The record is from RNAcentral.
GAUGAACGCUGGCGGCGUGCCUAAUACAUGCAAGUCGAGCGAACGGACGAGAAGCUUGCUUUUCUGAUGUUAGCGGCGGACGGGUGAGUAACACGUGGAUAACCUACCUAUAAGACUGGGAUAACUUCGGGAAACCGGAGCUAAUACCGGAUAAUAUUUUGAACCGCAUGGUUCAAAAGUGAAAGACGGUCUUGCUGUCACUUAUAGAUGGAUCCGCGCUGCAUUAGCUAGUUGGUAAGGUAACGGCUUACCAAGGCAACGAUGCAUAGCCGACCUGAGAGGGUGAUCGGCCACACUGGAACUGAGACACGGUCCAGACUCCUACGGGAGGCAGCAGUAGGGAAUCUUCCGCAAUGGGCGAAAGCCUGACAGAGCAACGCCGCGUGAGUGAUGAAGGUCUUCGGAUCGUAAAACUCUGUUAUUAGGGAAGUACAUAUGUGUAAGUAACUGUGCACAUCUUGACGGUACCUAAUCAGAAAGCCACGGCUAACUACGUG